This 327-nucleotide ribosomal RNA is filed under the name uncultured eukaryote. RNAcentral's name for it is "partial 18S ribosomal RNA". It matches the Rfam family "Eukaryotic small subunit ribosomal RNA", at positions 1470 to 1796 of the family's 1831-position model. The record is from RNAcentral.
CCCUUAGAUGUUCUGGGCCGCACGCGCGCUACACUGACGGAUUCAACGAGCUUACAACCUUGGCCGAAAGGUCUGGGUAAUCUCCAAAAUCCGUCGUGAUGGGGAUAGAUUAUUGCAAUUAUUAAUCUUCAACGAGGAAUGCCUAGUAAGCGCAAGUCAUCAGCUUGCGUUGAUUACGUCCCUGCCCUUUGUACACACCGUCCGUCGCUCCUACCGAUUGAAUGGUCCGGUGAAGCGUUUGGACUAUGGUUUUCUGAUGGUCCGCCGUUGGAUUACCGUGGGAAGUUCGUUAAACCUUAUCAUUUAGAGGAAGGAGAAGUCGUAACA